GCAAUGGUGGUUUAGUGGUAGAAUUCUUGCAUCCCACGCAGGGGACCCGGGUCCGAUUCACGGCCAACGCA
Molecule: non-coding RNA, 71 nt
Organism: Danio rerio (zebrafish)
Lineage: Eukaryota; Metazoa; Chordata; Actinopteri; Cypriniformes; Danionidae
Source: Rfam